This 474-nucleotide ribosomal RNA is filed under the name Herbaspirillum huttiense subsp. huttiense. Its description in RNAcentral is "bacterial SSU rRNA". It matches the Rfam family "Bacterial small subunit ribosomal RNA", at positions 8 to 475 of the family's 1533-position model. The record is from RNAcentral. Lineage: Bacteria; Pseudomonadati; Pseudomonadota; Betaproteobacteria; Burkholderiales; Oxalobacteraceae.
AGAGUUUGAUCCUGGCUCAGAUUGAACGCUGGCGGCAUGCCUUACACAUGCAUAUCGAACGGCAGCAUAGGAGCUUGCUCCUGAUGGCGAGUGGCGAACGGGUGAGUAAUAUAUCGGAACGUGCCCUAGAGUGGGGGAUAACUAGUCGAAAGACUAGCUAAUACCGCAUACGAUCUACGGAUGAAAGUGGGGGAUCGCAAGACCUCAUGCUCCUGGAGCGGCCGAUAUCUGAUUAGCUAGUUGGUGGGGUAAAAGCCUACCAAGGCAACGAUCAGUAGCUGGUCUGAGAGGACGACCAGCCACACUGGGACUGAGACACGGCCCAGACUCCUACGGGAGGCAGCAGUGGGGAAUUUUGGACAAUGGGGGCAACCCUGAUCCAGCAAUGCCGCGUGAGUGAAGAAGGCCUUCGGGUUGUAAAGCUCUUUUGUCAGGGAAGAAACGGUAGUAGCGAAUAACUAUUACUAAUGACGG